UAGGGAAUCUUCGGCAAUGGGGGGAACCCUGACCGAGCAACGCCGCGUGAGUGAAGAAGGUUUUCGGAUCGUAAAGCUCUGUUGUUAAGGAAGAACGAGUGUGAGAAUGGAAAGUUCAUGCUGUGACGGUACUUAACCAGAAAGGGACGGCUAACUACGUGCCAGCAGCCGCGGUAAUACGUAGGUCCCGAGCGUUGUCCGGAUUUAUUGGGCGUAAAGCGAGCGCAGGCGGUUAGAAAAGUCUGAAGUGAAAGGCAGCGGCUCAACCAUUGUAGGCUUUGGAAACUGUUUAACUUGAGUGCAGAAGGGGAGAGUGGAAUUCCAUGUGUAGCGGUGAAAUGCGUAGAUAUAUGGAGGAACACCGGUGGCGAAAGCGGCUCUCUGGUCUGUAACUGACGCUGAGGCUCGAAAGCGUGGGGAGCGAACAGG
This 429-nucleotide ribosomal RNA is filed under the name Bacteroidota bacterium. RNAcentral describes it as "Bacteroidetes bacterium partial 16S ribosomal RNA". It matches the Rfam family "Bacterial small subunit ribosomal RNA", at positions 355 to 776 of the family's 1533-position model. The record is from RNAcentral. Lineage: Bacteria; Pseudomonadati; Bacteroidota.